GUAGUAAAUCCUCAUCAUGUAGAGGACCUUGGAUGGGGCUGGUCGCAGUGAUGAAGCUGGACCCACAGAACCUCCACCUGAUGUUCCCAGGGAUGGUGUCAUCGUCUCCUCUGUCGCCCACAGGCGACAGUGAAGGGCUGUUAAAUAAAUCAAGUUAAAAAGUAUAUUUGAGACCCUUGGACCCACUAUUAGGGACAAUAAAGCUGCUGUAGUUAACUAUAGUAUAUAUAUAUAUAUAUAAAUAUGUGUGUCACAGAGUGAUGCAUAUUAGCUUGACUGUUACAAAUUACAUGUGGCUCGUGUCCACUCUUUAAGAAAAUAAUCACAAAUAAACAGAUUUUGUGCACUGAUGACGCGUCUGGCGCAUGGCUGUUCGCCAGAUCUUAUAAUACAUCUAAGGCCUCUCUGCCUUUACGGUGGAUGUAUUUUUUGACCAAUCAGAGGCGGUUGGUAGGCGGAACUGUCUGGCCCAUCGGCGUUUUUCUGUCAGUGGUAGCUGACGUAUGUCGUCAUUGGUCACGACGUGCAUCGCGAUUGGCCACGAUGUUCUGCGAGGAGCUCAGAGAGGCGGAGAAACGAAGGCGGAAAACAGACUUAAACCAAGUUUAAACCACUGCUUCGGUUUGCUAGUGCUGGGAUAAAACGUGAGUGAGGAGGUCUACGUGCUAAGACAAGGCCUGGGGGCUGCUUUUUUUGUCGAACACGAAUGAGACUGGACGCUUAACACGGAAAGGUUUACUGGUUCAGCUGCUGCAGCCUGGAUGGAAACACCAGCUCUCACCUUACAAACCAAACAGGUGUCACCACUUCGACCACCAUCACAGAGAGUCUUCGUACAAUGGGAAGUUCUUUGAGACCAGGACUGAGGCCUCCAGGAUUCAAACUUCAAUUCAACCAUUAAAUCACAGACAGAAGAGACAGACGUGAAGACAUUUCCAGAAGGUCUUCAGCUGCUGUCGUCUUCUCCUCCUGCAGAGACAAGAACACGUGUUAAUCACAGAAACUGAUCAAUUAAUCUAUUUUAUUCCAGUUUUACUGCACAGUACUCAAAGAGGUAAAUGAAAUUUCAAACCUAUGAGACAGUUUUUACCUUUCCUAAUAUUUCUUUACAAAGGACAAUAAAUAAUUUUAGUAAACUUAUGUUAUUAAAUAAUAUAUUAUUUAUCCAUAUUAAUAACUUAUUUUUCCUGACAUACUGUGCUAUGACAUUUUUUCUCCUUUUCUUCCUAUUUCAAACAGUGCAAUAUCAGUGCUCAAGUCCAAUCUAUACAGUCCUGUUAAUACUGUUUAUAAUUUUUACAUACUGUUAUAUAUUGUCUUAUUUUAUGUCGUGUAUCAUAC
Long non-coding RNA from Lates calcarifer (barramundi perch), 1341 nucleotides. RefSeq lists it as uncharacterized. The record is from RefSeq and is a predicted model, not a curated record. The transcript has 5 exons. Lineage: Eukaryota; Metazoa; Chordata; Actinopteri; Centropomidae.